RNAcentral lists this long non-coding RNA (674 nucleotides) under Phoenix dactylifera (date palm). RNAcentral's name for it is "long non-coding RNA (PDAC_LNC018538)". The record is from RNAcentral. Lineage: Eukaryota; Viridiplantae; Streptophyta; Magnoliopsida; Arecales; Arecaceae.
UCCUAUUGAGCUCGAAUGUCCCUAGGGGCCAACGUCUAAUUAAUUUUAAUUAGGGUGAUAGCUAUGUGAGAAUUGAUUCACCUACUCUGGGCAAGAAUCUGGUGAUGAAAUCCAGUUCUUAUCUUGUUGGGGUGAUUGCCCUUACUAUGUGCGGAUUAAUUGGUGUAUGUGUAUCAAGCAUGCAUUCACACUUUUGCUAAAAUUAAAAUCAAACAAUCACCACAAAAGGGAAUUUAAAUAAGAAAGGUUUAGAGGUUACCAAAGGGAAUUUCUCCAAUAAUUUUUAAAGCAAACCUUUACAGCAUUCCUUUGCCAAUAGUUCCCUUUCUGAAUGUCCCAAACUUCCUCUUUGGUUCCUGAUCAAAUGAUACCAAGAAAAAUCAAAAAUUAGUGAGAGAGGAGAAGAAGAUAAGGAAAGUAAAAAUAGAAACUAUUUUUAUUUUAUUUUUUUUAUUUUUCGAAUUUUUUUUUUGAAAUUUUUUUUAAUAAAAAGAAAAACAACUAUGCUACCAAUCCCCGGCAACGGCGCCAAAAAUUGAUAGUCAACUUUAAAGACCACGCAAUAGCACGUAUCUAGUAGGAUAGUGAUUACGGGUAUCGAUCCACAGGGAUUGGGGUAUAGUUAUUUUUCUUAAAAAUAAAAAUAUUUAAAAUGAUGAAUUUGUGAAGACUAU